This 1302-nucleotide long non-coding RNA is filed under the name Cyanistes caeruleus (blue tit). Its description in RNAcentral is "lncRNA (ENSCCEG00000016752.1)". Lineage: Eukaryota; Metazoa; Chordata; Aves; Passeriformes; Paridae. The record is from RNAcentral.
AUGCCCCUGGGGUGGGUGGGUGUUUGGGGAGCUGUGAGUGUGUCCCUCUUGAGGGGCUUGGGCAUUUCUUCUAACCACCCAUAUCCCUGGGACAGCAAGGGGCAUUUUGCAGCGUGUCCCACCAGCAAGAGGGAACAGCUGCUGACCCCAGCUCUACUGCAACACCCAAACAUGGCCACGGAGACAGAUUGGAACUGCCCUAUCUGCCAUGACAUUCCAGGUGAAAUCGCUUCUGUAACACCCUGCAUUCACCUGUUCUGCCUGGGCUGCAUUGUGCGGUGGGCCAAGACAAAACCAUUGUGCCCCCUGUGCAGGCAGGCUAUCAACAGCAUCAUUUACUCUGUUCGGUCAGAGGAAGACUUUCUGGAGAUAGUUCUUCCAAGUUCCUCAGACUCAUCAGCUGCUGGCCAUCAGGAUGAGCAAGGGGCUGUGGAGCCAGUGCCCAUAACUUACGUAGCUGGCUUCCCAACUGAGGUCUGGGCAGGUUUUUUCCAGGACUGCUCAGAAAUCCUCGAGCCCGUGCUACCCUGGCUGAACGCGGAGCUAUCAGAGCUGCUCCAGACCCGCUGGUGGGACGUGGCUCUGGCACAGAGUGCCACCGUAGCCAAUUUGUGCCGCUACGGGCUGAGUGAGCAGGACUUGGUCCGGGAGCUGCAGCCCAUGCUGCAGGAGCGGACGGAAACAUUUGUGCGCCAGCUCAUCGACAUCGCCGCUGACAGGUGCAGUGAUGAGAUCCUGCGCCAGAUGAGCCUCCUGAACUCCCAUGCUGAAGAGGAAGAGGAGGAAGAGGAGGAGGAGGAGGAGGAGGAGGAGGAGCAGGAGGUGCAGGAGGAGCAGGAGGAGCAGGAGGAGCAGGAGGAACAGGAGGAACAGGAGGAGCAGGAGGAGCAGGAGGAACAGGAGGAACAGGAGGAGCAGGAGGAGGAAGAGCAGGAGGGCUCCGCGGCCAUUCCUGGGCCCUGUGCCUCCCGCCAGGGGACUCCCUCCCCCAUCCUGGCCUCCUGCAGCCCCGUAGUGUCCGACGUGGAAGCGGACGUAGGAACGGUGGAAGCCCCGGCUGGAAGCUCUCCAUCCGUGCCCGUCCCUGUCGAACGCGAGCAGCGCCAGGAAGAGCCGGGCGGGCCAGCAGCAGUCGCAGGCCCCUCUGCCCAGGGCUGCGGCCGCAGCCCUUCCUCUCCUGGCCGGGACUCGCCCGAGGUGCCCCGGCGCCCCGCAAAGAGAAGGGCCUCUGGCCCUGAAGAUUCCCCCCAGCCCCCGAAGAGGCCGACCCGCCGGCAACGGCGCAAGCCAAGAACCCCCUAA